RNAcentral lists this ribosomal RNA (473 nucleotides) under uncultured bacterium. RNAcentral's name for it is "bacterial SSU rRNA". It matches the Rfam family "Bacterial small subunit ribosomal RNA", at positions 335 to 799 of the family's 1533-position model. The record is from RNAcentral.
ACUCCUACGGGAGGCAGCAGUGGGGAAUAUUGCACAAUGGGCGCAAGCCUGAUGCAGCCAUGCCGCGUGUGUGAAGAAGGCCUUCGGGUUGUAAAGCACUUUCAGUCGUGAGGAAGGCGGGUACGUUAAUAGCGUAUUCGUUUGACGUUAGCGACAGAAGAAGCACCGGCUAACUCCGUGCCAGCAGCCGCGGUAAUACGGAGGGUGCGAGCGUUAAUCGGAAUUACUGGGCGUAAAGCGCAUGCAGGUGGUUUGUUAAGUCAGAUGUGAAAGCCCGGGGCUCAACCUCGGAAUAGCAUUUGAAACUGGCAGACUAGAGUACUGUAGAGGGGGUUAGAAUUUCAGGUGUAGCGGUGAAAUGCGUAGAGAUCUGAAGGAAUACCGGUGGCGAAGGCGGCCCCUGGACAGAUACUGACACUCAGAUGCGAAAGCGUGGGAGCAAACAGGAUUAGAUACCCCGUGGUAGGACAGUG